AGCUCAUAAGUGUUCUCCUCUCAUUUGCUAAACUAGACUUAAAGUCUCACAACCUAAAAUUGGGUAGACGGUGAGUGUGUCUUAGAUCCAAAGUCUAAGCCUCACCUAGGAGACCUCACUUUAAUUGCUUUUCUAAUUCUCGACUAGAUAGCCUAUAUCUUGUGCGAAUAGGAAGCUCUCUUAGGGGUCCAAAUUUAGAGUUUAGGUUGUUUUUCUUUGCUUUGUGUGUUUUUGUUGUCUUUAAGACUUAAGUGGAUUUAAGAGUGAUUUUGAUCUAAGGACUCUAGUAAGUAGCUAGAAGCAUAUUUGGCAAGGAUAAGGCUUGGUACUUAAGCAAUCCUAGUGAUUCACCUCCCUUACCUGGAAUAUUGCUUUCANGGCAAGGAUAAGGCUUGGUACUUAAGCAAUCCUAGUGAUUCACCUCCCUUACCUGGAAUAUUGCUUUCAAGUGAAAAUCUUUAGUCUUUAUUUCAAGAAUAACAUUUAAGUCCACCAUAAUGUCUAGAAGGCAUUCUCCUAGGAUUAGUGAUAGUGAAAAUC
This 540-nucleotide long non-coding RNA is filed under the name Vigna radiata. RNAcentral's name for it is "long non-coding RNA (VRAD_LNC001701)". The record is from RNAcentral. Lineage: Eukaryota; Viridiplantae; Streptophyta; Magnoliopsida; Fabales; Fabaceae.